GAUGAACGCUGGCGGCGUGCCUAAUACAUGCAAGUCGAGCGAACAGAUGAGGAGCUUGCUCCUCUGACGUUAGCGGCGGACGGGUGAGUAACACGUGGAUAACCUACCUAUAAGACUGGGAUAACUUCGGGAAACCGGAGCUAAUUCCGGAUAAUAUAUUGAACCGCAUGGUUCAAUAGUGAAAGACGGUUUUGCUGUCACUUAUAGAUGGAUCCGCGCCGCAUUAGCUAGUUGGUAAGGUAACGGCUUACCAAGGCAACGAUGCGUAGCCGACCUGAGAGGGUGAUCGGCCACACUGGAACUGAGACACGGUCCAGACUCCUACGGGAGGCAGCAGUAGGGAAUCUUCCGCAAAGGGCGAAAGCCUGACGGAGCAACGCCGCGUGAGUGAUGAAGGUCUUCGGAUCGUAAAACUCUGUUAUUAGGGAAGAACAAAUGUGUAAGUAACUAUGCACGUCUUGACGGUACCUAAUCAGAAAGCCACGGCUAACUACGUG
This 497-nucleotide ribosomal RNA is filed under the name uncultured bacterium. RNAcentral describes it as "partial 16S ribosomal RNA". It matches the Rfam family "Bacterial small subunit ribosomal RNA", at positions 28 to 507 of the family's 1533-position model. The record is from RNAcentral.